UACGUAGGGGGCAAGCGUUGUCCGGAUUUAUUGGGCGUAAAGAGCUCGUAGGCGGCUCGGUAAGUCGGAUGUGAAACCUCCAGGCUCAACCUGGAGACGCCAUCUGAUACUGCCGUGGCUUGAGUCCGGUAGAGGAGCAGGGAAUUCCUGGUGUAGCGGUGAAAUGCGCAGAUAUAGGAAGGAACACCAGUGGCGAAGGCGACCACCUGGACUGAUACUGACACUGAGGUGCGAAAGCGUGGGGAGCAAACAGG
RNAcentral lists this ribosomal RNA (254 nucleotides) under uncultured bacterium. RNAcentral's name for it is "partial 16S ribosomal RNA". It matches the Rfam family "Bacterial small subunit ribosomal RNA", at positions 524 to 776 of the family's 1533-position model. The record is from RNAcentral.